This 305-nucleotide ribosomal RNA is filed under the name uncultured bacterium. RNAcentral's name for it is "bacterial SSU rRNA". It matches the Rfam family "Bacterial small subunit ribosomal RNA", at positions 334 to 650 of the family's 1533-position model. The record is from RNAcentral.
UGGGCCUACGGGGCGCAGCAGUCGAGCCUCAUUCCCCCUGUUGGAACCCCUGAUGGUGCGACGCCGCGUGGGGGAAUGAAGGUCUUCGGAUUGUAAACCCCUGUCAUGUGGGAGCAAAUUAAAAAGAUAGUACCACAAGAGGAAGAGACGGCUAACUCUGUGCCAGCAGCCGCGGUAAUACAGAGGUCUCAAGCGUUGUUCGGAAUCACUGGGCGUAAAGCGUGCGUAGGCUGUUUCGUAAGUCGUGUGUGAAAGGCGCGGGCUCAACCCGCGGACGGCACAUGAUACUGCGAGACUAGAGUAAU